Molecule: long non-coding RNA, 451 nt
Organism: Notothenia coriiceps (black rockcod)
Lineage: Eukaryota; Metazoa; Chordata; Actinopteri; Perciformes; Nototheniidae
Exons: 3
Source: RefSeq, a predicted model, not a curated record
AAAACAAUUAUUUAUUUCCUGAAUAGUAAACAUUUUGCAGAGAAAAGGAUUUUGCACGACCAGCGGCCAGCAACAAGAUAUAAUAAUGAUUCUGUAUUUUACUGCAUGUAUAACUCUUUGAAAACUGGCUGAUAUUUAUUUACAAAACACAUACAAAAACACUGAGAAGUUGUAGUUCUGGUACAUAAUUCUAAAAAACUAAAUGUGGUUAAAGUGCUGAAAACACCAGAUAUCACAUGAAAAAGUGAUCCUGCAUUAAAUGUGAAGUUUCAAAUGUCUCAAAAGGUCAGCACACAAAACCAACACUACCCUUUUGGCUUGAAAAUAUUUAACCGUUCAAAAAGUGGAUAAUCAGAUUUCUUUUUUUCAUAUUGGGCCUUUUAAAUGUAGAUAUAAUCAAUAUAACUCACACGCCAAAUGUCAUUUUUGAAUGUCAUUUUUUGAAACACUU